This is a non-coding RNA of Chelonoidis abingdonii (Abingdon island giant tortoise), 2165 nucleotides long. The record is from RefSeq and is a predicted model, not a curated record. NCBI's taxonomy places the organism in Eukaryota, Metazoa, Chordata, Testudines, Testudinidae.
AGAAGAAGUUCUUCAUCAAUGUGUCUGAAGUAAUUCCAGCAUCUUGCAUCUCAUACCUACAGCAGAAAGUAUAACAGAGGGGAAAAGUCUACAGAUCUAUUACAACAGGUCUCACGCCUGCUUGCAGUUCCUUGAGGCAGAAAAGACUUGUCAAUCAAGCAGUCUGGAAGUGGCCAUACCCUUAAAGACCUGGCCAGUUCAAGAUACUUCCAAAGAUGUUUUGAAGUGUAAAGUCCUUUAAAGGACUUUAAUUCACAAGUUAACAGACAAGAAUUCAUAAACAUUUUCUGCUGCAGAGCAACUUGAAAUUCCACCCCCAAUAUAUUAUGCCCCCAACUUCAAAUUCCACCCCAAGGAAAUAUAUACUGUUUCCCCAAAGAACAUGGAGGCAAGUGUGAUGGUUUAAGCCUUCCUCAGACCACAAUCCUUGUGGUGGGUUGGAUCGGUGGACUUUUACUACUGAAAGAAAGGAAACUUUGGAGAAAAGAUAAGGGGCUUAGCUGGAGGCAUACAGAGUCCUCACCAAAUACUCCUGAGAAUGGCUUCUGAUUACUUCUCAAAAGAAAAAAAUAAAACAAAACAAAACUGAGUUCUUCCUGUAUUGUGGUGACCUACAAGUAGAAGGAAGUCCCUGCACCCUUUUCUCCUCCUUUUUACUAGGAAAAAUCAAGCCUUAGAAAUUUCCUCGGUGGAGGAGUGACACCUGUGGCCAGAGUCCAUAGUAUGCCUUUUAUGUCCUUCCCAGAUUUAUAGGGAAAAAAAAGCAAGAGAAAUUAACUCUCAGGGGGUCCAGCUGCUGAGUAUUGCCUAUCCCCUGGCUCUUUAGGGCAAAAGAAGAGUGGCCUCAGCAGCCUAUGGUUAAGAUUUUGUCAGUUAUUUUUAGUAAAAGUCGGACAGCUCACAGGCAAUCAACACAAAUUCACAGAAGCUCAUGACCUGUCCGACUUUUACUAAAAAUAACUGACAAAAUAGGGAGGGGUAGGUCCAGCACCCAGCACAGGUCCAUGGCCCCCAAGGUGCUCAGAGAUGCGGGGGUCCGUCCCCACCCCACAGCAGCUAGGAGGAGCUGUGGGGGCCCUUGCCAGCUCUAGCCCCUGGCUGAAGCAGAAAGUGUCCUAGAGGUCGCUGGAAGUCACAGAUUCCAUGAUCUCUGUGAUGUAAUCCUAGCCUUACCUACGGUAAUAGAAUAUCAAACAAAGAGGGAAUCGGGAAAGAACUGCACCUGCUGUGCUACAGAAAUAACACUGAGAUGAGCCCUUGAAUGUUACAGAAACUCCUUAAAUCCCUGCAUGUGGAAGGAGGAGGGAAAACAAUCACAUGGCACAGCCCUUUUGUCUUACUAAAUCCCCUAGUGCUAUACAACAGUUAACACCGAUGUUGUCUCACUGAAUCCUAGGAUGGGCAAGGCAGGCUUACAUAAGGGAUGACUCCCACCUUGUUAAAGAGGAUGAAGUAAACUAGAAACAAGUAAGAGGCCCUUUACUGCUGCUUAUUCCUCCAUGUCUGGGCUGAUCUCUACCUCAACCCUCCAGGACUGCCAGUAUGAGGCAUGGCUGACCUGCAAUAAGCAGGGUCCCAUUAGUCAGGCAGGUAGCGCAUGGCUGAGUGGCAAAACAUGGUGAUUUCAGCUGGCCAGGCAAUUCUGGCAUAGCCGACCAUGCCAAGUGGGGUCCAAGUUAGCCUAGACAUUUUUGUGCCUUUUUCCUGCAACUUCUCUAUUCCUCUAAUUGCCUUGAAGCUGUUCCACCAGAGCGGCAUGUCCAGACAGGCCGCAAUGGAAACUUCUGCAGCCAGCAACCCUGGUAUCAAAACAGGGCAGGGGGGAAAAGGUGUUUCAGCAAGCCUGCUGCAGAGCACAACUUCUCCCCUCACACACACCCUUUCCAAGGCAAACUAAAAGCCCAGUAAUAUUUAGAAUCCUUUUUUUUGGUUGUGGUGUUGUUGCUUUGAGCAGGUCAUCUGGUAAAGCCCUCUGGCAGCUGCUGAAGGCAGUUCAAACUGGCUAAAAGUGCCUGGGUCUUCAGGGUUGUGGCCACUUGCGCCUGUCUGAUUGGGGUAGUAGUGCCCCAAAGAAGCUGCAAACAGGAGUAAGAUCCAUUGUAAAGGAUCUGCAGAAUUUCCCCGCAAGAGAAUAAUCCUUUGUAAAUUCUGUAAGAAUAUGAUAU